AUUGAACGCUGGCGGCAUGCUUUACACAUGCAAGUCGAACGGUAACAGGUUAAGCUGUCGAGUGGCGAACGGGUGAGUAAUGCAUCGGAACGUGCCCGGUCGUGGGGGAUAACGCAGCGAAAGCUGCGCUAAUACCGCAUACGAUCUGAGGAUGAAAGCGGGGGACCGUAAGGCCUCGCGCGAUCGGAGCGGCCGAUGUCAGAUUAGGUAGUUGGCGGGGUAAAGGCUCACCAAGCCAAGGAUCUGUAGCUGGUCUGAGAGGACGACCAGCCACACGGGGAAUGAGACACGGCCCAGACUCCUACGGGAGGCAGCAGUGGGGAAUUGUGGACAAUGGGCGAAAGCCUGAUCCAGCAAUGCCGCGUGCAGGAAGAAGGCCUUCGGGUUGUAAACUGCUUUUGUACGGAGCGAAAAGGUCUCCUCUAAUACAGGGGGCUCAUGACGGUACCGUAAGAAUAAGCACCGGCUAACUACGUGCCAGCCGCCGUAAUAC
This 493-nucleotide ribosomal RNA is filed under the name uncultured bacterium. RNAcentral's name for it is "partial 16S ribosomal RNA". It matches the Rfam family "Bacterial small subunit ribosomal RNA", at positions 29 to 526 of the family's 1533-position model. The record is from RNAcentral.